UGCAAUGAGAAGUGUACUAAGGUAGCGUGAUAAGUUGUCUUUUAAUUGGAGAAUGGUAUGAAUGGUUUGACGUAUAGCAACUGUCUUUGUAAAAUAGAAUUAAGUUUCCUUUUAAGUGAAAAGGCUUAAGUUUUUGUAAAAGACGAGAAGACCCUGUCGAGCUUGAUUUAGGGUAGCUGAUUUAUGGUAGUUUUAAGUUUUAUUGGGGCAAUAUAAGACAAAAUAACGUUUUAAUAUUUGACUGGGAUCCUUUGUUGAAAGAAAGUGGCAAAAGCUACCGCAGGGAUAACAGCGUUAUCUUUUUUGAGAGAUCUUAUUGAGAAAAAGGUUUGCGACCUCGAGUUUGGAUUAUA
Molecule: ribosomal RNA, 353 nt
Filed under: Periglypta compressa
Lineage: Eukaryota; Metazoa; Mollusca; Bivalvia; Venerida; Veneridae
Description: partial 16S ribosomal RNA
Rfam family: Bacterial large subunit ribosomal RNA
Source: RNAcentral